CAGUCGCCACGGUAAUACGUAGGGUGCGAGCGUUAAUCGGAAUUACUGGGCGUAAAGCGUGCGCAGGCGGUUUAGUAAGACAGGCGUGAAAUCCCCGGGCUCAACCUGGGAAUGGCGCUUGUGACUGCAAAGCUAGAGUGCGGCAGAGGGGGAUGGAAUUCCGCGUGUAGCAGUGAAAUGCGUAGAUAUGCGGAGGAACACCGAUGGCGAAGGCAGCCCCCUGGGCCAAUACUGACGCUCAUGCACGAAAGCGUGGGGAGCAAACAGGAUUAGAUACCCGUGUAGUCCCUGUCUCUUAUAC
RNAcentral lists this ribosomal RNA (301 nucleotides) under uncultured bacterium. Its description in RNAcentral is "partial 16S ribosomal RNA". It matches the Rfam family "Bacterial small subunit ribosomal RNA", at positions 509 to 807 of the family's 1533-position model. The record is from RNAcentral.